GCGGAGGAAAAGAAACUAACAAGGAUUCCCCUAGUAACUGCGAGUGAAGCGGGAAAAGCUCAAAUUUAAAAUCUGGUGGUCUUUGGCCAUCCGAGUUGUAAUUUAGAGAAGCGUCUUCCGCGCUGGACC
This 129-nucleotide ribosomal RNA is filed under the name Russula foetens. RNAcentral's name for it is "partial 28S ribosomal RNA". It matches the Rfam family "Eukaryotic large subunit ribosomal RNA", at positions 50 to 176 of the family's 3401-position model. RNAcentral also lists the same sequence under 17 other names. The record is from RNAcentral. Lineage: Eukaryota; Fungi; Basidiomycota; Agaricomycetes; Russulales; Russulaceae.